GGCGUGCCUAAUACAUGCAAGUCGAGCGGACAGAAGGGAGCUUGCUCCCGGAUGUUAGCGGCGGACGGGUGAGUAACACGUGGGUAACCUGCCUGUAAGACUGGGAUAACUCCGGGAAACCGGAGCUAAUACCGGAUAGUUCCUUGAACCGCAUGGUUCAAGGAUGAAAGACGGUUUCGGCUGUCACUUACAGAUGGACCCGCGGCGCAUUAGCUAGUUGGUGGGGUAAUGGCUCACCAAGGCGACGAUGCCGUAGCCGACCUGAGAGGGUGAUCGGCCACACUGGGACUGAGACACGGCCCAGACUCCUACGGGAGGCAGCAGUAGGGAAUCUUCCGCAAUGGACGAAAGUCUGACGGAGCAACGCCGCGUGAGUGAUGAAGGUUUUCGGAUCGUAAAGCUCUGUUGUUAGGGAAGAACAAGUGCGAGAGUAACUGCUCGCACCUUGACGGUACCUAACCAGAAAGCCACGGCUAACUACGUGCCAGCAGCCGCGGUAAUACGUAGGUGGCAAGCGUUGUCCGGAAUUAUUGGGCGUAAAGGGCUCGCAGGCGGUUUCUUAAGUCUGAUGUGAAAGCCCCCCGCUCAACCCGGGGAGGGUCAUUGGAAACUGGGAAACUUGAGUGCAGAAAAAGAGAGUGGAAUUCCACGUGUAGCGGUGAAAUGCGUAAAAAAUGUGGAAGAACCCCAGUGGCGAAGGCGACUCUCUGGUCUGUAACUGACGCUGAGGAGCGAAAGCGUGGGGAGCGAACAGGAUUAGAUUCCCUGGUAGU
This 773-nucleotide ribosomal RNA is filed under the name Bacillus safensis. RNAcentral's name for it is "bacterial SSU rRNA". It matches the Rfam family "Bacterial small subunit ribosomal RNA", at positions 41 to 794 of the family's 1533-position model. Lineage: Bacteria; Bacillati; Bacillota; Bacilli; Caryophanales; Bacillaceae. The record is from RNAcentral.